UACAGAGGUCCCAAGCGUUGUUCGGAUUCACUGGGCGUAAAGGGUGCGCAGGUGGUUUGGCAAGUUUGACGUGAAAGCCCCGGGCUUAACCCGGGAAUGGCGUUGAAAACUGCUUGAACUGGAGGGUCGGAGGGGGGACUGGAAUUCUUGGUGUAGCAGUGAAAUGCGUAGAUAUCAAGAGGAACACCAGUGGCGAAGGCGAGUCCCUGGACGAUACCUGACACUGAGGCACGAAAGCCAAGGGAGCAAACAGG
This 254-nucleotide ribosomal RNA is filed under the name Deltaproteobacteria bacterium. Its description in RNAcentral is "partial 16S ribosomal RNA". It matches the Rfam family "Bacterial small subunit ribosomal RNA", at positions 524 to 776 of the family's 1533-position model. Lineage: Bacteria; Pseudomonadati; Myxococcota; Myxococcia. The record is from RNAcentral. RNAcentral also lists the same sequence under 2 other names.